This 444-nucleotide ribosomal RNA is filed under the name uncultured bacterium. Its description in RNAcentral is "partial 16S ribosomal RNA". It matches the Rfam family "Bacterial small subunit ribosomal RNA", at positions 355 to 813 of the family's 1533-position model. The record is from RNAcentral.
UGGGGAAUAUUGCGCAAUGGGGGGAACCCUGACGCAGCAACGCCGCGUGAAGGAUGAAGGUUUUCGGAUUGUAAACUUCUUUGAUGAGGGACGAAAGAAAUGACGGUACCUCAAAAACAAGCCACGGCUAACUACGUGCCAGCAGCCGCGGUAAUACGUAGGUGGCGAGCGUUGUCCGGAAUUACUGGGUGUAAAGGGCGUGUAGGCGGGGAUGUAAGUCAGAUGUGAAAUACCGUGGCUUAACUACGGGGCUGCAUCUGAAACUAUGUUUCUUGAGUGUCGGAGAGGAAAGUGGAAUUCCCAGUGUAGCGGUGAAAUGCGUAGAUAUUGGGAGGAACACCAGUGGCGAAGGCGACUUUCUGGACGAUAACUGACGCUGAGGCGCGAAAGCGUGGGGAGCAAACAGGAUUAGAUACCCUGGUAGUCCACGCUGUAAACGAUGUC